RNAcentral lists this ribosomal RNA (458 nucleotides) under uncultured bacterium. RNAcentral's name for it is "partial 16S ribosomal RNA". It matches the Rfam family "Bacterial small subunit ribosomal RNA", at positions 338 to 795 of the family's 1533-position model. The record is from RNAcentral.
CCUACGGGUGGCAGCAGUGAGGAAUAUUGGUCAAUGGUCGGGAGCCUGAACCAGCCAAGCCGCGUGAGGGAUGAAGGUACAGAGUAUCGUAAACCUCUUUUGUCAGGGAACAAAGGCGGGGACGUGUCCCCGGAUGAGUGUACCUGAAGAAAAAGCAUCGGCUAAAUCCGUGCCAGCAGCCGCGGUAAUACGGAGGCGGCGAGCGUUAUCCGGUUUUGUUGGGUUUAAGGGUGCGUAGGGGGUCUGUUAAGUCAGCGGUCAAAGCCCGGGGCUCAAACCCGGCCCGCCGUUGAAACUGGCAGUCUCGAGUUGGAGAGAAGUAGGCGGAAUGCGCGGUGUAGCGGUGAAAUGCAUAGAUAUCGCGCAGAACUCCGAUUGCGAAGGCAGCAUGCCGGCUCCACACUGACGCUGAGGCACGAAAGCGUGGGUAUCGAACAGGAUUAGAUACCCGAGUAGUC